UACGUAGGUGGCAAGCGUUGUCCGGAUUUAUUGGGUUUAAAGGGUGCGUAGGCGGCCCUGUAAGUCCGUGGUGAAAUACUCCAGCUUAACUGGAGGGGUGCCAUUGAUACUGCAGGGCUUGAGUGGAGUCGAAGUAGGCGGAAUUGACGGUGUAGCGGUGAAAUGCUUAGAUAUCGUCAAGAACACCGAUAGUGAAGACAGCUUACUAGGCUUCUACUGACGCUGAGGCACGAAAGUGUGGGGAUCAAACAGG
This 253-nucleotide ribosomal RNA is filed under the name uncultured bacterium. Its description in RNAcentral is "partial 16S ribosomal RNA". It matches the Rfam family "Bacterial small subunit ribosomal RNA", at positions 524 to 776 of the family's 1533-position model. The record is from RNAcentral.